Molecule: long non-coding RNA, 658 nt
Organism: Gossypium raimondii (Peruvian cotton)
Lineage: Eukaryota; Viridiplantae; Streptophyta; Magnoliopsida; Malvales; Malvaceae
Exons: 2
Source: RefSeq, a predicted model, not a curated record
AUAUAAAAGUGAAGUUGUCAUUAAGCCUUAAUCGUAUGGUGAGGGGUUAGUCCACAUUUCACAACUCACCUAAACCUUAAUUUGAAGUCUUCCAAGAGUCUACACAUUUUGAUUUUCGGAGUUGACUUGAAAUAUAGACCCAUUACCAUCUAUAAUACAAUUUGCAUUUCAAUGUUUCCCCCUAACUCCGAGCCCUCCUUUUGGGACAGGAACCAACCAGAAGCUGACCGACGCUGAUCUAAUCGAAGAUGGGGAAAGUCAUCUGCUCGGAAUUAAAAGAAGGGAACAGUUUGGGCUUCACCGGGUUCCUCAUGGUGCUGGUUAUUGCUCUCGCCCUCAUGGCCAUCUGCUUCCCACCACCACCGCGGCGAGCUGUGCUCGUGGCACGGCGUUUUGGCUGAGAAAUGAUCAAGGUCGAUAGAAGUCAAAGGUCUCGGUUCAGCAUCCAGAUCAAUCCUGACUUCAGCAUAACUUUGGUGAUGUAUUUUUCCUUUGGUAAAUGUGGCAUGUACUUCAGUUUUAUUAAAGAGACUUGUAAGUUUUGGUUGUAAAGAAUUGGCCUAUAAUAUAUGAAUGAUAAAUGAAACGUUAAGUUAUAAAAUGGUAUGUUUGGUACUAAAACUGAAAUAAAAUGAAUGAAGUUUAUUUAUUUAAACAA